RNAcentral lists this ribosomal RNA (913 nucleotides) under Pseudomonas mandelii. Its description in RNAcentral is "bacterial SSU rRNA". It matches the Rfam family "Bacterial small subunit ribosomal RNA", at positions 1 to 890 of the family's 1533-position model. The record is from RNAcentral. Lineage: Bacteria; Pseudomonadati; Pseudomonadota; Gammaproteobacteria; Pseudomonadales; Pseudomonadaceae.
UUUUUUUUUAUAUUUAAUUUUUUAUGAUUUUUUUUACUAGCUCAGAUUGAACGCUGGCGGCAGGCCUAACACAUGCAAGUCGAGCGGCAGCACGGGUACUUGUACCUGGUGGCGAGCGGCGGACGGGUGAGUAAUGCCUAGGAAUCUGCCUGGUAGUGGGGGAUAACGCUCGGAAACGGACGCUAAUACCGCAUACGUCCUACGGGAGAAAGCAGGGGACCUUCGGGCCUUGCGCUAUCAGAUGAGCCUAGGUCGGAUUAGCUAGUUGGUGAGGUAAUGGCUCACCAAGGCGACGAUCCGUAACUGGUCUGAGAGGAUGAUCAGUCACACUGGAACUGAGACACGGUCCAGACUCCUACGGGAGGCAGCAGUGGGGAAUAUUGGACAAUGGGCGAAAGCCUGAUCCAGCCAUGCCGCGUGUGUGAAGAAGGUCUUCGGAUUGUAAAGCACUUUAAGUUGGGAGGAAGGGCAGUAAAUUAAUACUUUGCUGUUUUGACGUUACCGACAGAAUAAGCACCGGCUAACUCUGUGCCAGCAGCCGCGGUAAUACAGAGGGUGCAAGCGUUAAUCGGAAUUACUGGGCGUAAAGCGCGCGUAGGUGGUUUGUUAAGUUGGAUGUGAAAUCCCCGGGCUCAACCUGGGAACUGCAUUCAAAACUGACAAGCUAGAGUAUGGUAGAGGGUGGUGGAAUUUCCUGUGUAGCGGUGAAAUGCGUAGAUAUAGGAAGGAACACCAGUGGCGAAGGCGACCACCUGGACUGAUACUGACACUGAGGUGCGAAAGCGUGGGGAGCAAACAGGAUUAGAUACCCUGGUAGUCCACGCCGUAAACGAUGUCAACUAGCCGUUGGGAGCCUUGAGCUCUUAGUGGCGCAGCUAACGCAUUAAGUGACCGCCUGGAGACGCCGAAUUGU